Bos taurus (domestic cattle) is the source of this 1246-nucleotide long non-coding RNA. Lineage: Eukaryota; Metazoa; Chordata; Mammalia; Artiodactyla; Bovidae. The record is from Ensembl.
GUUAAGUGUCUGAAAGUGCAGUGUUCAAACAUAUAUUUAUGUUGUCAAUACUGUCAGAACUGUCAGUUUUACUAUACUGGAUUUGUACUACAUUUCGAAUUUACUCAUUUACGUAAAAUGCCCACCCUAGGAUUCCCCCACCCCCAAUCCAUCUCUCUCUUUCCUCCCAGCUCUGGAAAAUCCGUGUCAGUUUCUUCAAAGGAUUCAGCAAUCUUUGCCUCAGCUACAGUGUGCAGUGGCUCUUUUACUCAAUUUUCCACAUCAGAUUACAUGUCUUUUUCACCAUUUCUAACUUUCAGAGAUCCUUCCUCCAUUCUUUCCAACUCUGCCUACUCCAGCCUUUUCUCCAAAAGAGUAUUAUAGCACUUGGAGCAGUAUUGUAGCACUUGGACCACGUUCCCGUCCAUGGGGUCGCAAGGAGUCGAACAGGACUGAGCAACUGAACAAGAAGCACUUGGAAAGCUUCUGAUUUAAAUAGCCUCAUUUCAACUCCAAAUAAACCAUGAUUCCCUCCAAGACUGAUAGGAAAGACAGGGCCACUUCUGGACUAUCUGUGAGGAUGUGUUUCUUUCUAUAAUACUGAAGCACUUUUUAUAAACCUUUUGGUGUAUUUAAAUAAAUCUAUUUGGACAUUAAGAGAAGUCAUAUAUACAAAGAUAGCUUUGCUUUAUUCCAGUAAUCCCGAUAUUAGAAAAGAAUUUCACAAUCUGAGACGCCUUGGCCAAAAAAAAAAAAAAAGUUUUCUGCGUGUAUGUGCAUGUCUUCGUGCGCACGUUUAUAAACAUCUCCCAGUCCGCGUUUGCGUGUUACCUCCCUCCUGCCACACACUCGAAGGCAGAGGCGUCGAGGGAUCGCCCCCAGAGAGCUGUGUUUACUUAGGUUUUUUUUAAUCUCGCCGCCAUGUAUGACAAGUGUUACUUCAAGAAAUUCAUCAGCCUUCUAUAGAUACUUCCAGUUUUGCUGUAAUGAUCUGCAGAAGAGAACUGCCAUCACUUUCUCGCAUCCCAAGGUGUUGCAGGAACUCACCGAAAGGGGAAAGUGGCUGAAACGCUUAAUUACAGUGGGGGAGGGAGGGGCGCGAGGCGGAACCUCGGAAGGGAGAGUGGGGAAGGUCUUUACCUGGCCUGGACCUGAAGAAAGCUGUGAAUCCUCGCGUUGAAAAUUUGAGAAAGGUAGGAUUGCUUUUUUUUUUUUUUGCAAUGCCUUUGGGGAGAAGUGAUACCCUUGUGUAACAAUUAGCUCAGAC